CGCAUCUGUGCAUGCAGCAUAUCAAUAAGCGGAGGAAAAGAAACUAACAAGGAUUCCCCUAGUAACGGCGAGUGAAGCGGGAAGAGCUCAAAUUUGAAAUCUUAAAGGGUUUCCCUUUACGAAUUGUAGUUUAAAGAAGUGUUUUCUGUUGAGGCUUUGGUAAAAGUUCUUUGGAAUAGGACAUCAUAGAGGGUGAGAAUCCCGUAUUUGACCUUUACUUUCAACUUUGUGAUACACUUUCAAAGAGUCGGAUUGUUUGGGAAUGCAGUCCAAAAUGGGUGGUAAAUUUCAUCUAAAGCUAAAUAUUGGCGAGAGACCGAUAGCGAACAAGUACCGUGAGGGAAAGAUGAAGAGAACUUUGAAAAGAGAGUUAAACAGUACGUGAAAUUGUCAAAAGGGAAGCGUUUGACACCAGUGUUGUUUUUCUGAAAAUCAAUUAAAGAACUGUUUAUGCUAAGUUGUUUAGACUUUAUCAGCUAACUGUUUAGUUUUGAGCUUUUCUUUAAUGCACUUUUCAGUUAACAAGUCAACAUCAAUUUCUUUUGCUGUAAAAAAGCUUGAGGAAGGUGGCUUGAGAUUCGUCUUAAGUGUUUAUAGCCUCUUGCCUAUGCAGUCGGAGAGAUUGAGGUCUGCAGCGUAGAUCCUUCGGGGCUAAAUGCAUUUGUGCUAAGUUAUAGCAUUUUAUAGACAACUUGUUGACUAUGAUUUGUCUUGUAGCUUACUCGCUUAUGUUAUUUUACCUACGCUUAGGAUGUUGAAGAUGUAGCACAUCAU
RNAcentral lists this ribosomal RNA (774 nucleotides) under uncultured Neocallimastigales. RNAcentral's name for it is "partial large subunit ribosomal RNA". It matches the Rfam family "Eukaryotic large subunit ribosomal RNA", at positions 26 to 635 of the family's 3401-position model. The record is from RNAcentral. Lineage: Eukaryota; Fungi; Neocallimastigomycota; Neocallimastigomycetes; Neocallimastigales.